Molecule: ribosomal RNA, 292 nt
Filed under: uncultured bacterium
Lineage: Bacteria
Description: partial 16S ribosomal RNA
Rfam family: Bacterial small subunit ribosomal RNA
Source: RNAcentral
GUGUCAGCCGCCGCGGUAAUACGUAGGGUGCGAGCGUUAAUCGGAAUUACUGGGCGUAAAGCGUGCGCAGGCGGUUUCGUAAGACAGACGUGAAAUCCCCGGGCUCAACCUGGGAACUGCGUUUGUGACUGCGAGGCUAGAGUACGGCAGAGGGGGGUAGAAUUCCACGUGUAGCAGUGAAAUGCGUAGAGAUGUGGAGGAAUACCGAUGGCGAAGGCAGCCCCCUGGGUUAGUACUGACGCUCAUGCACGAAAGCGUGGGGAGCAAACAGGAUUAGAUACCCGAGUAGUCC